AGAGUUUGAUUAUGGCUCAGGAUGAACGCUAGCUACAGGCUAACACAUGCAAGUCGAGGGGCAGCAGGACGAUAGCUUGCUAUUGUUGCUGGCGACCGGCGCACGGGUGAGUAACGCGUAUCCAACCUUCCCCUUAGUAGGGCAUAGCCCGGUGAAAAUCGGAUUAAUACCCUAUGUUGUGUCAUGAGGACAUCUGAAUAACACUAAAGAUUUAUCGCUAAGGGAUGGGGAUGCGUCCGAUUAGGUAGUCGGCGGGGUAACGGCCCACCGAGCCCUCGAUCGGUAGGGUUCUGAGAGGAAGGUCCCCCACACUGGUACUGAGACACGGACCAGACUCCUACGGGAGGCAGCAGUGAGGAAUAUUGGUCAAUGGGCGCGAGCCUGAACCAGCCAAGUAAGCGUGCAGGAUGACGGCCCUAUGGGUUGUAAACUGCUUUUAUACGGGGAUAAAGUGAGGGACGUGUCCCUUAUUGUAGGUACCGUAUGAAUAAGGACCGGCUAAUUCCGUGCCAGCAGCCGC
This 520-nucleotide ribosomal RNA is filed under the name uncultured bacterium. RNAcentral describes it as "bacterial SSU rRNA". It matches the Rfam family "Bacterial small subunit ribosomal RNA", at positions 8 to 518 of the family's 1533-position model. The record is from RNAcentral.